AUGCGUGAGGAGGAGGAGGCCGCGGUCAUGGUGGCGCGACGGAGGUCGUGCCCGUCCGGCGUGCGGCACAAGGCUGCGGCGCUCUUCGUCGAGGCGGAGGUGAGUGGCUGCGGUGAUGGCAGAUGCAUGAGGAAGAGGAUGACGUGGUCAGGGCGGCGCGACGGAGUUCGUGCCCGACCGGCGCGGCACCAGGCUGCGAGGGAGAAAGAGAGAGAAAAUUGGAAAGUGAGGCCUGACAACAGAUGGGAGAGGGACAGAGGGUCACCGGCUGGCGUCGGCCUGUGCCGGCGAGGUCGCUUGCCUGGUUGCGAAGGAGGGAAAGGCGACGGGACAGGCAUCCGGGGCGGCGGCGGUGGCUGGACUCCAGGACCUGGCCGAGGUGGUUCUUGCCAAAGAAGCAGGCGGCAGCGCAAGGUAUAG
This 420-nucleotide ribosomal RNA is filed under the name Triticum aestivum (bread wheat). RNAcentral describes it as "partial small subunit ribosomal RNA". Lineage: Eukaryota; Viridiplantae; Streptophyta; Magnoliopsida; Poales; Poaceae. The record is from RNAcentral.